This 1737-nucleotide ribosomal RNA is filed under the name Marachernes bellus. RNAcentral's name for it is "SSU rRNA". It matches the Rfam family "Eukaryotic small subunit ribosomal RNA". Lineage: Eukaryota; Metazoa; Arthropoda; Arachnida; Pseudoscorpiones; Chernetidae. The record is from RNAcentral.
UGCAUGUCUAGGUUCACGCCCUAGCAAGGCUAAACCGCGAAUGGCUCAUUAAAUCAGUUAUGGUUCCUUGGAUCGUACAAUCCUACUUGGAUAACCGUGGUAAUUCCAGAGCUAAUACAUGCAACUGAGCCCUCGUCCGUUUUACGGCGGGGGUGCUUUUAUUAGACCAAGACCAGACGGGGGGUCGCUCCCGAUCGAUCGUGGUGACUCUGGAUAACUACAGCGGAUCGCACGGCCUUUGCGCCGGCGACGGAUCCAUCAAGUGUCUGCCUUAUCAACUGUCGAUGGUAGGAUAUCCGCCUACCAUGGUUGUUACGGGUAACGGGGAAUCAGGGUUCGAUUCCGGAGAGGGAGCCUGAGAAACGGCUACCACAUCCAAGGAAGGCAGCAGGCGCGCAAAUUACCCACUCUCGGCACGGGGAGGUAGUGACGAAAAAUAACAAUACGGGACUCUAACGAGGCUCCGUAAUUGGAAUGAGCACAUUCUAAACCUUUUAACGAGGAUCUAUUGGAGAGCAAGUCUGGUGCCAGCAGUCGCGGUAACCCCAGCUCCAAUGGCGUAUAUUAAAGCUGUUGCGGUUAAAAAGCUCGUAGUUGGAUCUCAGUCGCCGCUUCCGUCGACGCGUCGAAAGGCGUUUAUCGUCGGGGCCGACAACCGCUGGUGGGCUCGGUUGGCCUUCAAAAGCUGAUCUUGCACUCCGGCAAUGUUACUGUGAAAAAAUUAGGGUGCUCAAAGCGGGCUCGCGCCUGCAUAUACGUGCAUGGAAUAAUGGAAUAGGAUCUCGGUUCUAUUUUGUUGGUUUCUGGACCCGAGAUAAUGAUUGAGAGGGACAGACGGGGGCAUUCGUAUUGCGGCGCUAGAGGUGAAAUUCUUGGACCGCUGCAAGACGAACUACUGCGAAAGCAUUUGCCAAGAAUGUUUUCAUUAAUCAAGAACGAAAGUUAGAGGUUCGAAGGCGAUCAGAUACCGCCCUAGUUCUAACCAUAAACGAUGUCAACUAGCAAUCCGCCCGAGUUCCCUAAACGACUCGGCGGGCGGCUUCCGGGAAACCAAAGUUUCUGGGUUCCGGGGGAAGUAUGGUUGCAAAGCUGAAACUUAAAGGAAUUGACGGAAGGGCACCACCAGGAGUGGAGCCUGCGGCUUAAUUUGACUCAACACGGGGAAACUUACCCGGCCCGGACACCGGAAGGAUUGACAGAUUGAUAGCUCUUUCUUGAUUCGGUGGAUGGUGGUGCAUGGCCGUUCUUAGUUGGUGGAGCGAUUUGUCUGGUUAAUUCCGAUAACGAACGAGACUCUAGCCUGCUAAAUAGACCCACGGUCCUUGGUUACCGUGAGCGGGUCUUCUUAGAGGGACAGGCGGCUCUCAGCCGUACGAGACAGAGCAAUAACAGGUCUGUGAUGCCCUUAGAUGUCCGGGGCCGCACGCGCGCUACACUGAAGGACUCAGCGCGUGCUUAUCCUGGUCCGAAAGGUCCGGGUAACCGCCUGAAACUCCUUCGUGCUGGGGAUAGGGGAUUGGAAUUGUUCCCCUCGAACGAGGAAUUCCCAGUAAGCGCGGGUCAUCACCCCGCGUUGAUUACGUCCCUGCCCUUUGUGCACACCGCCCGUCGCUACUACUGAUUGAAUGAUUUAGUGAGGUCUUCGGACUGGCUCGGUUUGCGGCCUCGGCCGUGCCGGAUCGGGAAGACGACCGAACUUGGUCAUUUAGAAGAAGUAAAAGUCGUAACAAGGUUUCC